UGUUGUUCCAAUCAUCCAAUUAAAGACACACGAGGUCAAACGUGUGCUUGGUGCUGCUGUGUCGAACUUCUGCAAUAUGUAAAAAUGAUUCCCUCUAACAGGAGCCACAACUCGGACAUUUCUCUGCCUACAGUUUGCCUGUGUGAACAACGAGCUGACUGACAGGAAGCUGAACUCACCACAGCUGCUGUUUCUCUGCAGGGGAGGAAACAUUUCGCAGACAUUUGUGAGGCAUUUCUCUUCCUAAUGGAAAAUAAAGACGGGAGAGUGGCCGAGAUGGAGGCUCCAAAUGAAAAACAUGGAGUCAGUGACCUGAGGCCAGGGCCUGUCCAUCCAGGCCCCAACGCCCGCCUGCAUCAGCCCGGCUCUUCUUCUCCUUCUUCUUCUUCUUCUUCUUCUCUGCUGCCACUGAUGUCCACAUAUAGAUGUCAAAGAAGAUGUUGGACAGAAAGGUUGGAGGGUUUCGGGGGCUUUUUUCCAGCUGGGGAAGAAGUUUUUGUAUUCUACAUGCAAGACGAUUGCAACACUUCAGCGUCUGACAGGAGCUCUGCAGACACAUCUCGCCUCUGUAUCGCUUCAAUUCUCCGAUGGGACCUCGGGCUCUUGUCAUGUUAUCUCUUGAAAAAAAAAAAAAAAAAGUUGCUUUUAUCAGUUCACCAAAAAGUUUUUUGCCACUUUUUUUUUUGAAGAUUGGAGCUGAAUAAAAUUACCGCCGUGCCUGUGAGAUUUCAAUCAAUAAACGUGCACGUCGCUGUAGAAAUGUUGUGCUGCAGAGUCGACAGCGAGAUCGAUUUCUGAGCAUCCACAGCAAAUCUGCAAACGCAAUCUUCAGUUGAGAGAUGAUACCCGUGUGUGUGUGUGUGUGUGUGUGUGUGUGUGUGUGUGGCCUUAUUUAAGAUAUCUUCUUCAGUCAUUUGCAAAACUUGCAAAAAAAAAAAAAAGCCUUCGCUGCAACUCUCCACUACAUGUUUUUCUGAUAAGACUCCCCUGAUUAAGCAGCGGUAUGUGCAGAAAUCUUCAUCUGACUGGUUUGCGUUCAGUUUAUUUUCUCUGCUGCCGUCUCUCCUGGACGUCUUUUGUCCAUCCAGCCACCGGUGUUUAAACACACAGUCUUUCACGCCGCACCGCCAUUGUCCAGAUUCGGCCACCAGUCACGGCGCGUAACGGCUGAGCGGGUUAGCGCUGUGCUUAGCCCACGCAUCGAGCUUAUCUCGCGCUGCAGGGACUGAAACAAACAACAAAAGGCUAAAUAAGGGAUUUGGCGCUAGCACGGCUGAGGCUAAUGAUUCUCCCACUAGCCAUACACGCUUUCUCCAUGUAGCUUUUUUUUUUAGUCACAUACUGUAGGCUACGCUUCAAGCACAGUAGCGUUGUCCUUAUGUGGCUCCACAGAUGUAUAGACCCAGACAAUGAAGUCCCUGUUUGUAGCUUAAAAACAGAAACUGUCAGGCUUCAGAUUUCUCCUCCCACGAGGGGUUUGAAGUGGUCAAGCUUUCAAAUGAGAGAGCAAGACAGUAAACAUAUAGUCCUGUCAGAAAACAUGUUUUGGUGGGUUGGUUUGUCAGCAGGAUUACAAAAGAACUACAGAACAGACGUGUGUAGGACGGGUCUCAGCCCAGAAUAGACCCAAUUCAAGUGGCUGUACGCAUUAUUUGCUUUUAAAAAAGUGUUAUGUAGCUCGAUAUUCCAACAGUAACAGCACCUGUUUGAUCAUCAUGUCCAUCCUCCCCCUGCUCAUGUAGUAAUAUCUAUCCAAUCAGGACGGAGAGGUCCAUAAAGAGGCGGUCCUGUGGUGACGUAGAGAGGACGGAGAGGAUUUCUUUGUGCAGAGCGGACAGGAAUUUGGCUCCCAGCAGCUUUAAAGAUGCUCCCUGCUGGUGGUGGAUGGCCUCCUUCAUCUCUCUCUGACAGUUUUCUGACUCCUGGUCAUUUACUUUGAACGCUUCCCCGUCGAUGCUGUGAUGGAUUCUGGUCCGGUGGUUCAGACAGCAGAUCCUCUCUGUUCAGGAUGUUCCUCUCCGCCGUCACACGUGAAGUCACGCAUCGCUUCCUCUCCAUGUGCGUCCUGUCUUUCGUGCCUACCAGCAGAGAUCUCGGGGUUUCUUGUGGUCUUUGCUGGCUGUGUUUUGGUUUUAAAACUCUGGCUAGAUGUUCUCACAGCCCAGCCAUGUAUGAACGUCCUGUUGGAGUGGUUCUUGUUCGUUCCAAGUCGACAUUCUCAUAAUCCGGUGCUGCUGGCCUGUGCAGCCAUCUCCCUCUGUCUCUCCUCCUACUCACCAGCGAGAUGCUCGGCUCUGUGUGAGAGCGUCCUCACCACUGAUCAGCCGAGCCAAGUCCAAACUCUAAUGAGGGCCGUGAGAUGUGGUUGAAAGAAAUGGUUCUGGGUUAUCUUUAUUGUCCAACGAGGGGAUUUUAUUUAUGUAGCGAGGGGGUUUCAAAAGGACCACAUGAGUGACAACAUCAAUAAUAAUUUAUGUAACUGAUGCAGAGAAGGAAAGUUCACAGGAAGUGCAAAUAUACCAGAAUGCAGAUAUGCACGUACGCAGAGUGCUAAUUGCCAUGAAUGAAGCGUUUCAGUAGCACGUGGAGUUUUUCUUCAAACAGCAUCAACAUCUGCAGCAUCUGCCUGUGACCGAGGUUGAACCAGCUCCUUCCUGAGAUCGUACCAGAAAAUGUGGAUCCUAACGUGACCACGAGGUCAAAAAAUGGUUCGAUUUGUUGAAAAAAUGUUUGCUAGCAUGCACAUUUCUUUUGGAAGCCAAAUGACAGAGAGCCAGCUGGAUGGAUGGCAAUGAAAUAAUUAAUUUAUAUGUUAUUUUUAAUGUGAUAUAUGCGAUCGGACUGAAGCACAGGCAUUAACAAUAACUAUAUAAAAACAGCAGUCUUUUCGCUGAUGGUCUCGUUUGCUGUUACAAAGGUAUCAGAGGAAUCACAAGACUGUUUCAUAAAACACUUAAAUCUUCCUCAUCGUCACUAUAAAUUAGGAUUAUGAUGUUAUUCUGUCAUCCUGUUGUCUUUCAAGAAUUUCCUUUGGGCUUAAUAAAGUUCUGCCUUGUCUUGUCAAAAUGUUCUUCCAAAGAUCAUGAUGUUAACGAUGUGCUCGUGCGUUGGCUGUUUAAACGUCGAGACUCAGUUUCAUUCAAUAUCCGAAGCAGCGAUGGUAAAGAAAAUCUGCGUGGUGAGCUAUUUGAGCCUCCCUCCAAUCUGUGUUCGAUUUCACGGACGUGUUCGAGGGAGGA
Acanthopagrus latus (yellowfin seabream) is the source of this 3239-nucleotide long non-coding RNA. RefSeq lists it as uncharacterized. NCBI's taxonomy places the organism in Eukaryota, Metazoa, Chordata, Actinopteri, Spariformes, Sparidae. The transcript is spliced from 2 exons. The record is from RefSeq and is a predicted model, not a curated record.